UAAAGCACUUUUAGUGGGGAGGAAAUGCUCAGACCUAACACGUCUGGGAGCUGACUUAACCCAAAGAAAAAGCACCGGCUAACUCUGUGCCAGCAGCCGCGGUAAUACAGAGGGUGCAAGCGUUAAUCGGAAUUACUGGGCGUAAAGCGAACGUAGGCGGUUACCUAAGUCGGAUGUGAAAUCCCCGGGCUCAACCUGGGAAUUGCAUUCGAGACUGGAUAGCUAGAAUGCGGAAGAGGGAAGCCGGGAAAUUUUCCCGGGUGUAGCGGUGAAAAUGCGUAGAUAUCGGAAGGAACAUCAGUGGACGAAAGCGGCUUCCUGGUCCAGCAUUGACGCUCAGGUUCGAAAGCGGUGGGGAGCAAAACAGGAUUAGACUACCUGGUAGUCCACGCCAAUAAACGAUGAGGACUAGACGUUGAGAGGGUUAGCCUCCCAGUGUCGCAG
RNAcentral lists this ribosomal RNA (444 nucleotides) under uncultured bacterium. Its description in RNAcentral is "bacterial SSU rRNA". It matches the Rfam family "Bacterial small subunit ribosomal RNA", at positions 426 to 851 of the family's 1533-position model. The record is from RNAcentral.